CCAUCUUCUUGUCGUCUCGUAAAUGGCGAUGUAACAAGGGGCCACGCCUGCUCCUCUCGACGGGCCUUGACUCUCGGUUGAAGGAAGCCAGGCCGCCUUUCCGGAAAUGCACUUCCGUCUGCCUCCUUCCAUAGCUUUUAUGGCUCUCAUGUGCACGUGCGCCUCUUCGCGAGGAUUCACAGAUGAAGACAUUGUGCC
Rhipicephalus microplus (southern cattle tick) is the source of this 198-nucleotide long non-coding RNA. NCBI's taxonomy places the organism in Eukaryota, Metazoa, Arthropoda, Arachnida, Ixodida, Ixodidae. The record is from RefSeq and is a predicted model, not a curated record.